GGCCAUUUCUUCGUAGACAUCCGAUAAAAUUGGAACGAUAUAAAGAAGAUUCACGUUGCCCUACGCAAGGAUGACACACACAAAUUGAGAAAUGGUCUAAAUUUUU
This is a small nuclear RNA of Syzygium oleosum, 106 nucleotides long. Lineage: Eukaryota; Viridiplantae; Streptophyta; Magnoliopsida; Myrtales; Myrtaceae. The record is from RefSeq and is a predicted model, not a curated record.